UUUAUGGAGAGUUUGAUCCUGGCUCAGAGUGAACGCUGGCGGCGUGCCUAAUACAUGCAAGUCGAACGAUGAAGCUUCUAGCUUGCUAGAGUGCUGAUUAGUGGCGCACGGGUGAGUAACGCAUAGGUCAUGUGCCUCUUAGUUUGGGAUAGCCAUUGGAAACGAUGAUUAAUACCAGAUACUCCCUACGGGGGAAAGAUUUAUCGCUAAGAGAUCAGCCUAUGUCCUAUCAGCUUGUUGGUAAGGUAAUGGCUUACCAAGGCUAUGACGGGUAUCCGGCCUGAGAGGGUGAACGGACACACUGGAACUGAGACACGGUCCAGACUCCUACGGGAGGCAGCAGUAGGGAAUAUUGCUCAAUGGGGGAAACCCUGAAGCAGCAACGCCGCGUGGAGGAUGAAGGUUUUAGGAUUGUAAACUCCUUUUGUUAGAGAAGAUAAUGACGGUAUCUAACGAAUAAGCACCGGCUAACUCCGUGCCAGCAGCCGCGGUAAUACGGAGGGUGCAAGCGUUACUCGGAAUCACUGGGCGUAAAGAGCGCGUAGGCGGGAUAGUCAGUCAGGUGUGAAAUCCUAUGGCUUAACCAUAGAACUGCAUUUGAAACUACUAUUCUAGAGUGUGGGAGAGGUAGGUGGAAUUCUUGGUGUAGGGGUAAAAUCCGUAGAGAUCAAGAGGAAUACUCAUUGCGAAGGCGACCUGCUGGAACAUUACUGACGCUGAUUGCGCGAAAGCGUGGGGAGCAAACAGGAUUAGAUACCCUGGUAGUCCACGCCCUAAACGAUGGAUGCUAGUUGUUGGAGGGCUUAGUCUCUCCAGUAAUGCAGCUAACGCAUUAAGCAUCCCGCCUGGGGAGUACGGUCGCAAGAUUAAAACUCAAAGGAAUAGACGGGGACCCGCACAAGCGGUGGAGCAUGUGGUUUAAUUCGAAGAUACACGAAGAACCUUACCUAGGCUUGACAUUGAGAGAAUCCGCUAGAAAUAGUGGAGUGUCUGGCUUGCCAGACCUUGAAAACAGGUGCUGCACGGCUGUCGUCAGCUCGUGUCGUGAGAUGUUGGGUUAAGUCCCGCAACGAGCGCAACCCCCUUUCUUAGUUGCUAACAGGUCAUGCUGAGAACUCUAAGGAUACUGCCUCCGUAAGGAGGAGGAAGGUGGGGACGACGUCAAGUCAUCAUGGCCCUUACGCCUAGGGCUACACACGUGCUACAAUGGGGUGCACAAAGAGAAGCAAUACUGCGAAGUGGAGCCAAUCUUCAAAACGCCUCUCAGUUCGGAUUGUAGGCUGCAACUCGCCUGCAUGAAGCUGGAAUCGCUAGUAAUCGCAAAUCAGCCAUGUUGCGGUGAAUACGUUCCCGGGUCUUGUACUCACCGCCCGUCACACCAUGGGAGUUGUGUUUGCCUUAAGUCAGGAUGCUAAAUUGGCUACUGCCCACGGCACACACAGCGACUGGGGUGAAGUCGUAACAAGGUAACCGUAGGUGAACCUGCGGUUGGAUCACCUCCUUUCUAGA
RNAcentral lists this ribosomal RNA (1509 nucleotides) under Helicobacter pylori. RNAcentral describes it as "bacterial SSU rRNA". It matches the Rfam family "Bacterial small subunit ribosomal RNA". The record is from RNAcentral. Lineage: Bacteria; Pseudomonadati; Campylobacterota; Epsilonproteobacteria; Campylobacterales; Helicobacteraceae.